UACAGAGGUCUCAAGCGUUGUUCGGAUUCAUUGGGCGUAAAGGGUGCGUAGGUGGCGCCGUAAGUCCGUUGUGAAAUCCCUGGGCUCAACCUGGGAAUGGCAGUGGAUACUGGACGGCUAGAAUGCGGUAGAGGGUAGUGGAAUUCCCGGUGUAGCAGUGAAAUGCGUAGAGAUCCGGAGGAACACCAGUGGCGAAGGCGACACGCUGGGUCACACCUGACGCUAAAGCGCGACAGCAUGGGGAGCGAACGGG
Molecule: ribosomal RNA, 253 nt
Filed under: uncultured bacterium
Lineage: Bacteria
Description: partial 16S ribosomal RNA
Rfam family: Bacterial small subunit ribosomal RNA
Source: RNAcentral